RNAcentral lists this ribosomal RNA (360 nucleotides) under Babesia sp. RNAcentral describes it as "SSU rRNA". It matches the Rfam family "Eukaryotic small subunit ribosomal RNA", at positions 475 to 900 of the family's 1831-position model. Lineage: Eukaryota; Apicomplexa; Aconoidasida; Piroplasmida; Babesiidae. The record is from RNAcentral.
AAAUAACAAUACAGGGCAGAUGUCUUGUAAUUGGAAUGAUGGCGACGUAAAAGCUCGCCAGAGUACCAAUUGGAGGGCAAGUCUGGUGCCAGCAGCCGCGGUAAUUCCAGCUCCAAUAGCGUAUAUUAAACUUGUUGCAGUUAAAAAGCUCGUAGUUGAACUUUAGCCAUUGGUGUCAUUGCGCGUGUCGCCUUGAGUCCGUUGGCUUAUCUUUUUACUUUGAGAAAAUUAGAGUGUUUCAAGCAGACUUUUGUCUUGAAUACUUCAGCAUGGAAUAAUAGAGUAGGACCUUGGUUCUAUUUUGUUGGUUUCUGAACCUGGGUAAUGGUUAAUAGGAACGGUUGGGGGCAUUCGUAUUUA